RNAcentral lists this ribosomal RNA (1147 nucleotides) under Lactobacillus sp. Shuhaimi naser-1. RNAcentral describes it as "bacterial SSU rRNA". It matches the Rfam family "Bacterial small subunit ribosomal RNA", at positions 41 to 1139 of the family's 1533-position model. Lineage: Bacteria; Bacillati; Bacillota; Bacilli; Lactobacillales; Lactobacillaceae. The record is from RNAcentral.
GGGGAGCUAUACAUGCAAGUCGAGCGAGCAAUUUUAACAGAAGGCCUUCGGGCUGGAAGCUAAAAGCGCGAGCGGCGGAUGGGUGAGUAACACGUGGGCAACCUGCCCUUUAGCUUGGGAUACCACUUGGAAACAGGUGCUAAUACCAAAUAAGAAGCAAGAGCGCAUGCUCAAGCUAUGAAAGGCGGCUUUCGAGCUGUCACUAAAGGAUGGGCCCGCGGUGCAUUAGCUAGUUGGUAAGGUAACGGCUUACCAAGGCAAUGAUGCAUAGCCGAGUUGAGAGACUGAUCGGCCACAUUGGGACUGAGACACGGCCCAAACUCCUACGGGAGGCAGCAGUAGGGAAUCUUCCACAAUGGACGCAAGUCUGAUGGAGCAACGCCGCGUGAGUGAAGAAGGUUUUCGGAUCGUAAAGCUCUGUUGUUGGUGAAGAAGGAUGUGAAUAGUAACUGAUUCAUAUUUGACGGUAAUCAACCAGAAAGUCACGGCUAACUACGUGCCAGCAGCCGCGGUAAUACGUAGGUGGCAAGCGUUGUCCGGAUUUAUUGGGCGUAAAGCGAACGCAGGCGGGAGAACAAGUCAGCUGUGAAAGCCCUCGGCUUAACCGGGGAAGUGCAGCUGAAACUGUUUUUCUUGAGUGCAGAAGAGGAGAGUGGAACUCCAUGUGUAGCGGUGGAAUGCGUAGAUAUAUGGAAGAACACCAGUGGCGAAGGCGGCUCUCUGGUCUGUAACUGACGCUGAGGUUCGAAAGCAUGGGUAGCGAACAGGAUUAGAUACCCUGGUAGUCCAUGCCGUAAACGAUGAGUGCUAAGUGUUGGGAGGUUUCCGCCUCUCAGUGCUGCAGCUAACGCAUUAAGCACUCCGCCUGGGGAGUACGACCGCAAGGUUAAAACUCAAAGGAAUUGACGGGGGCCCGCACAAGCGGUGGAGCAUGUGGUUUAAUUCGAAGCAACGCGAAAAACCUUACCAGGUUCUUGACAUCUAGUGCCAGUCCUAGAGAAUAGGAUUUUCCCUUCGGGGACCACUAAGACAGGGUGGGUGCAUUGGCUUUCGUCAGCUUCGUGUCGCNGAGAAUGUUUGGGUUUAAGGUCNCCNCAACNAGNNNNCAACNCCNUUNNAUUANUNUAGNUNUGGCCNAAGNCNNUNU